AAAAGUGCUACGGGACUGGUAGAUGAUGGACUUAUGGCGCAUUAGCUGGUUGGUAGGGUAACGGCCUACCAAGGCGACGAUGCGUAGCCGACCUGAGAGGGUGACCGGCCACACUGGGACUGAGACACGGCCCAGACUCCUACGGGAGGCAGCAGUAGGGAAUUUUCGGCAAUGGGGGAAACCCUGACCGAGCAACGCCGCGUGAAGGAAGAAGUAAUUCGUUAUGUAAACUUCUGUCAUAGAGGAAGAACGGUGGAUAUAGGGGAAUGAUAUCCAAGUGACGGUACUCUAUAAGAAAGCCACGGCUAACUACGUGCCAGCAGCCGCGGUAAUACGUAGGUGGCGAGCGUUAUCCGGAAUUAUUGGGGCGUAAAGAGGGAGCAGGCGGCACUAAGGGUCUGUGGUGAAAGAUCGAAGCUUAACUUCGGUAAGCCAUGGAAACCGUAGAGCUAGAGUGUGUGAGAGGAUCGUGGAAUUCCAUGUGUAGCGGUGAAAUGCGUAGAUAUAUGGAGGAACACCAGUGGCGAAG
This 529-nucleotide ribosomal RNA is filed under the name uncultured bacterium. RNAcentral's name for it is "bacterial SSU rRNA". It matches the Rfam family "Bacterial small subunit ribosomal RNA", at positions 202 to 720 of the family's 1533-position model. The record is from RNAcentral.